Small nucleolar RNA from Calliphora vicina (urban bluebottle blowfly), 92 nucleotides. RefSeq annotates it as small nucleolar RNA psi18S-1377. NCBI's taxonomy places the organism in Eukaryota, Metazoa, Arthropoda, Insecta, Diptera, Calliphoridae. The record is from RefSeq and is a predicted model, not a curated record. The transcript has a single exon.
CCGUUCUUGUGUUAUUUGUUGAUUGUUUAACCAAGAUCAAUGAUUGUCAAACAGAACGUACAUUAAAUUUAAAACAACGACUCGUUAUAAUU